Molecule: ribosomal RNA, 652 nt
Filed under: uncultured bacterium
Lineage: Bacteria
Description: bacterial SSU rRNA
Rfam family: Bacterial small subunit ribosomal RNA
Source: RNAcentral
GUCGAACGCUCACCUUCGGGUGGGAGUGGCAGACGGGUGAGUAACACGGGGAACGUACCCUUUGGUUCGGGACAACUCUGGGAAACUGGAGCUAAUACCGGAUACGCCCUUUUGGGGAAAGGUUUACUGCCGAAGGAUCGGCCCGCGUCUGAUUAGCUAGUUGGUGGGGUAACGGCCUACCAAGGCGACGAUCAGUAGCUGGUCUGAGAGGAUGAUCAGCCACACUGGGACUGAGACACGGCCCAGACUCCUACGGGAGGCAGCAGUGGGGAAUAUUGGACAAUGGGCGCAAGCCUGAUCCAGCCAUGCCGCGUGAGUGAUGAAGGCCUUAGGGUUGUAAAGCCCUUUUAUCCGGGACGAUAAUGACGGUACCGGAGGAAUAAGCCCCGGCUAACUUCGUGCCAGCAGCCGCGGUAAUACGAAGGGGGCUAGCGUUGCUCGGAAUCACUGGGCGUAAAGGGCGCGUAGGCGGCGUUUUAAGUCGGGGGUGAAAGCCUGUGGCUCAACCACAGAAUGGCCUUCGAUACUGGGACGCUUGAGUCUGGUAGAGGUUGGUGGAACUGCGAGUGUAGAGGUGAAAUUCGUAGAUAUUCGCAAGAACACCGGUGGCGAAGGCGGCCAACUGGACCGGCACUGACGCUGAGGCGCGAAA